ACACGCAUGAAAGUCAAGCUGAAAGACUUUACUCAAUGAUGUAAGUGGUGGUGCAUGGUCGUUCUUAGUUCGUGGAUUGAUUUGUCUGGUCGAUUCCGAUAACGAGCGAGACCCCGGUGUUCCUAAUAGGGGCGGUAGCCCGUCCCGGUCAUUAAGCCGAUCGGGUCAGCUGCCGCCUAAGAUGUACUUCUUAGACACAUCAAGGCCGAUAAGGUCUUUGAAAUGGGUUAAUAACAGGUCAGUCAUGCCCUUAGAUGUUCUGGGCCGCACGCGCGUUACAAUGGCACGUAAAAAGAGUGCUUCUCAAAGGCGUCUCCCGGGCCUAAAGGUCCGGGUAACCCUUAAUCCCUGCUUUGACUGGGAUAGAUCCUUGCAAUUAUUGGUCUCUAACGAGGAAUUUUUAGUAAGCGCAGAUCAUUAAUCUGUGCUGA
RNAcentral lists this ribosomal RNA (431 nucleotides) under Nannengaella conglomerata. RNAcentral describes it as "SSU rRNA". It matches the Rfam family "Eukaryotic small subunit ribosomal RNA", at positions 1230 to 1644 of the family's 1831-position model. The record is from RNAcentral. Lineage: Eukaryota; Evosea; Eumycetozoa; Physariida; Physaraceae.